RNAcentral lists this ribosomal RNA (433 nucleotides) under uncultured bacterium. Its description in RNAcentral is "partial 16S ribosomal RNA". It matches the Rfam family "Bacterial small subunit ribosomal RNA", at positions 29 to 507 of the family's 1533-position model. The record is from RNAcentral.
AACGAACGCUGGCGGCAUGCCUAACACAUGCAAGUCGAACGAGACCUUCGGGUCUAGUGGCGCACGGGUGCGUAACGCGUGGGAACCUGCCCUUAGGUUCGGAAUAACUCCCCGAAAGGGGUGCUAAUACCGGAUAAUGUCUUCGGACCAAAGAUUUAUCGCCUUUGGAUGGGCCCGCGUUGGAUUAGCUAGUUGGUAGGGUAAAAGCAUACCAAGGCGACGAUCCAUAGCUGGUCUGAGAGGAUGAUCAGCCACACUGGGACUGAGACACGGCCCAGACUCCUACGGGAGGCAGCAGUGGGGAAUAUUGGAAAAUGGGCGAAAGGCUGAUCCAGCAAUGACGCGUGAGUGAUGAAGGCCUUAGGGUUGUAAAGCUCUUUUACCCGGGAUGAUAAUGACAGUACCGGGAGAAUAAGCUCCGGCUAACUCCGUG